GGGAGUACAGCUCAGUGGCAGAGUGCAUGCCUGGUGUGCACAAGGUCCUAGGUUCAAUCCCCAGUACCUCCG
This 72-nucleotide transfer RNA is filed under the name Camelus ferus (Wild Bactrian camel). It matches the Rfam family "tRNA". From Rfam's summary of the family: Transfer RNA (tRNA) molecules are approximately 80 nucleotides in length. Their secondary structure includes four short double-helical elements and three loops (D, anti-codon, and T loops). The record is from Rfam by way of RNAcentral. Lineage: Eukaryota; Metazoa; Chordata; Mammalia; Artiodactyla; Camelidae.